UGUAAAGCACAGCUACACACCCCCUUCCAGCGAGCUCACACUCACUCACUCACAGAGCAGUUGCAGCCCUCUGAAGCCCCACUCUGGUGCCUCCUGCACACACUUAGACACUUUUUGAGCCGUCUAACUCAGGACCAAGACGUCCCAUCUGCAGAUAGGCGGAGGACAGGAACAGGACAGGACACGCACCCUCGACACCACACAGCAGCACCGCAGACAUGUCGGACUCCGAGACCGCCGCCGCCCCCGCCGAGGCCCCCGUCCCCGCUGCUUGUGCCACUAUCAAGGCUGACCUGGACAAAUGUGUGGCAGAGAAGGGAGCCGAGGGCUGCAAAGAUCUGAUGGAGGCCUUUGCUGCUUGUGUGAAGAGUGCAGCUGAGGGGACGUCAUGAGGAGUCGCCCUCCAACCUCAAAUGUCCACUGCACUGAGUCCUCCAAGUUCCCAGCAUUCCCUUCUGCACAACAGCACUGGACUGAAUGAUGACAACUACGAUGACGAAGAAGAUGAUGAUGAUGAUAACGAUGAAGAUGAUCAUGGCGUGACAAACGUGUUGAUUCGGGCUGAAUUUGGGAUGUGGUGGCAGUAACCACAGUUUCCUCCCCCCUGUCCUCCCCCUGUUAUAGGCUUAUCUGAUGUCCCUCAGUCUUACCACCGUUCCCCUCUUCCUCUUCUUCCCCCUCCUCUUCCUCCCUCCUCGGCUGACAUGCAGCGCACCAACGUGUAGACAAUUCCAGAUGAGCUGAGCUGUAAUGUAAAUUGUCGACUUGAGAUGAAUACUUAUAAAUGGAAAUAAAAGUAUCAAAUAAUUGGUAUAAAAACAGA
Long non-coding RNA from Epinephelus moara (kelp grouper), 823 nucleotides. RefSeq lists it as uncharacterized. Lineage: Eukaryota; Metazoa; Chordata; Actinopteri; Perciformes; Serranidae. The transcript is spliced from 4 exons. The record is from RefSeq and is a predicted model, not a curated record.